Paramuricea clavata is the source of this 161-nucleotide non-coding RNA. NCBI's taxonomy places the organism in Eukaryota, Metazoa, Cnidaria, Anthozoa, Malacalcyonacea, Plexauridae. The record is from the annotation of a GenBank genome assembly.
GAGUGCAGCCUCACUUAAAGAAAUGUUUCGAGGGUAUUGCCAGUCUGCAGUUCACAGAUGUACUUGAUAUAACUCACCUGAAGAGUUCAGAAGGUGAAGUGGUCGAACUUAAGGAUGUCAUUUCUACAGCGAAGGCCAGAGGUCAGGUCGAGAAAUGGCUG